GAUCAGGGCUCAGGAUGAACGCUAGCUACAGGCUUAACACAUGCAAGUCGAGGGGCAGCAUGGUCUUAGCUUGCUAAGGCCGAUGGCGACCGGCGCACGGGUGAGUAACACGUAUCCAACCUGCCGUCUACUCUUGGACAGCCUUCUGAAAGGAAGAUUAAUACAAGAUGGCAUCAUGAGUCCGCAUGUUCACAUGAUUAAAGGUAUUCCGGUAGACGAGUGGGGAGUG
RNAcentral lists this ribosomal RNA (229 nucleotides) under uncultured bacterium. RNAcentral's name for it is "partial 16S ribosomal RNA". It matches the Rfam family "Bacterial small subunit ribosomal RNA", at positions 15 to 235 of the family's 1533-position model. The record is from RNAcentral.